This is a long non-coding RNA of Biomphalaria glabrata, 2062 nucleotides long. RefSeq lists it as uncharacterized. NCBI's taxonomy places the organism in Eukaryota, Metazoa, Mollusca, Gastropoda, Planorbidae. The transcript has 3 exons. The record is from RefSeq and is a predicted model, not a curated record.
ACUGCAUUUCUGCAUUUUUAAUUGCACAUCAAAAUUAAUCAAAUUAUGUCUGUAGACAUCUAGAGCAUUUUUCACCACCAACCACGGUAAUUUAUUAGCCCCAUCACACACCAUGCAAGGAUAAAUAUCUACAUUUACAUCAUGCAUGGCAGCAUGUGUCAUGAUGAUUGAUAAUAGAUCUAUGAUUGUAGGUCUACUAUCAAAUUUAACGAGUAACAACAUUAUCUGCUAUGGCUAUGGUUAUAGAUCUAGAUCUAUUUUAAGUCUAUAUUGUACAUAUAGAUCUAUAUCUAGAUUCUAGAGAUCAAGCGAGAGUUGAGAUGCCAAAACAUGGUAAUGACCUGGUUUAUUAUUGUGUUAUUUCGAACUUCGCCGAGUGCAAAAGAAACGAAGCUGCAUCAGUCGAGAGAAAGAAGAAGAAAGCUACCCUAGCCCUAGGACAGAUGCAUAUAUAUAUUUAAUAUAUCUAUACAGGAUGGUUGCCUGGUCGUGCGGUUAGCGCGCUGGACUGUCGUUCGGAUUUAUCGACGGUCGAGGGUUCAAACCCUGCCCGCUGCCAUCCCCCGUCGUCCUGCGGGAGGUUUGGACUAGGAAGUAAACUAUCUUCAACUCUGAAGGAACAUCCGAAACAUGUAAAACAUUUUACAAAACAACAAACAUGCACGAACUCACGAACUGUGUCAAACUCUGUCACUCCAGAAUAUAAGGCUUGAUCAGUCACACCAAAUUCUGCCCCAUCUCAAAACGAAAUCAGUGACUCACCUGUCUUCCCGACUCAUUGUGAUUGUCUUCCGACACAUGAGGAGCCAUAUCUAGAUCUAGAAUCUAAUUAUAACUUAAAAUGCACGUGAUUUGUUGGAGACACGGGGAAAAAAGUUUGACCUAGAUCUAGAUCUAUGUCUAGUCUAGAUCUACUUUUAGUGAAAGAUCUAGAUCUAAAUCUAGAUACUUUUAGAUACUUAAUAUAGAGCAGCUCAUUUUUCUGAUUCAAUCAAUUACUUUUGUGUUUGUAGGCCUAUAAAUUAGCGUGCUUCGUAUUUUGGAUACUUCAAAAAUAUUGGAUUUUUGUUGAUAUAACCAUUGAGUUACCAUUGUUAUAGGCCUACACGGAUUAUUGGAACAGUUUGGAUUAUUUAAUACGCAAAGAUUUGAAAAAAUUAAAAAACACCAUUCAUGAAAUGUACAAAUUAUAUUUGUUUCUAUACUGCAUUCUUGGAGCUGCUGUUUAUAAGAACUCAGUUAUGUCUUCAUUUCAAAGUGUACAUUUAUUUAAAGGCAUUGAAGGAGUUGUGAAUGGAAUGAUUAUGUUUUAUGUAUUAGCUGAGUUUUCUAGAUUUUAUGAAAUUUUAAGCUUCAUAUGUUCUUUCAUAAAUAAAUAUUAUGGUUUAACACAAACGUCUUGCAGUUCUGCAGUGAAUGACUUCAGGAAGGGUUUAAACUUGGGUCAAUAGUGAUAACAAUCUGAAAGGGCCAGGUAGCUAUUUUUAUAUGUGAAAUCAAAUUCUUAUAAGUAAGAUCUUAUCUCUUAUAAUUGUAUUUCCAAGUAUUUACAGUUAUGCUUUUAGCUAAGUACCAAUCAUUUAUAUUUGUAUAUCCAAUUAUACUAGGCUAAAUGUAAUUACCAGUGUGAAUAUCCUGGGAUAGGUAUAAUCAGUUAUAUUUGCAUAUCCAGCUUUGUAGGGGUUGAGGUUAGGCACAUAUUUAUUUUAAAAUUCCCAAUGAUAUUUUUGUUGUACUUUUUAUCAGUGUAAUCAGCUAUGUUAGUAUGUCCAGGUAUGUUCUGGGCCGAGUGCAAACAGUGUGAAAGGUUACUUCUCUGAGAUGUGGAACUACAUGGACAUCACCAUGUUGGCGUUGUAUACUGCUGGCUACUCCACGACGGUGUGAUCUAUACAAAAACCAAUGGAUACUUUGCUGACAACCAACUGAUUCACAUUGAAGGAUGUUGGCAAGUUCACCUUCAUCUAUUUCAGUCAUGAUUGCCUUUAUAUGUGGACAAAUAAGCCUAUACAGUAUUUCCAAGAAUGAGAACUUUGCAGGAUAGAGUCAUUUGACUUACAAG